GACGAACGCUGGCGGCGUGCUUAACACAUGCAAGUCGAACGGAAAGGCCCUGCUUUUGUGGGGUGCUCGAGUGGCGAACGUGAGAGUAACACGUGAGUAACCUGCCCUUUACUUUGGGAUAACUCCAGGAAACUGCGGCUACUACCGGAUAGGUGCUCCUGCUGCAUGGUGGUGGUAGGAAAGUGUCGGCGGUUGGGGAUGGACGCGCGGCUUAUCAGCUUGUUGGUGGGGUAGUGGCUUACCAAGGCUUUGACGGGUAGCCGGCCUGAGAGGGUGACCGGCCACAUUGGGACUGAGGUACGGACCAGACUCCUACGGGAGGCAGCAGUGGGGAAUAUUGCACACUGGGCGGAAGCCUGAUGCAGCAACGCCGCGUGCGGGAUGACGGCCUUCGGGUUGUAAACCGCUUUCGCCUGUGACGAAGCGUGAGUGACGGUAAUGGGUAAAGAAGCACCGGCUAACUACGUG
Molecule: ribosomal RNA, 468 nt
Filed under: uncultured bacterium
Lineage: Bacteria
Description: partial 16S ribosomal RNA
Rfam family: Bacterial small subunit ribosomal RNA
Source: RNAcentral